UUAAGUUCAGCGGGUAGUCCUGCCUGAUUUGAGGUCAAAUUGUGUGAGACUGACUGACCAUCGUCAUUUCUGGCUGGGCCGGCAUGGGUCACGAGCAGGUAAGACAUUGAUUGUAUCAUACCGACGUAAAUUGCCACCUUGAUGCCAAUCCAUUUCAGAGAAGCAAGCGCAAACCCAGCAUUUUGGGUAGCAAUGCAUCC
This 200-nucleotide unclassified non-coding RNA is filed under the name fungal sp. Its description in RNAcentral is "partial internal transcribed spacer 2". Lineage: Eukaryota; Fungi. The record is from RNAcentral.